AGUGAGGGGUAGAGGAAGGCGGGUCCCUGGCUCGGCUCUACCCCCAUGGAUCUAGGUGGGCUCAAUGUCAUCACAAGGGUGCUUAAGAGGGAAAGAGGAAGCCAUGAGGGUCAGAGUCAAAGGAAGACUUGAAGAUACUACACUGCGGACUUUAAAGAUGAAGGAAGGGGCGAAAACCAAGAAUGUGGGAAGCCUCUAGAAGCUAGAGAAGGCAAGGAAACAAAUUUUCCACUAGAGCCUCCAGAAGGAACACAGCCCUGCUGACCCACUGUAAUGUCUGACCUCUAGAUGUGUAAGGGUAGUAAGACUGAAAGUCUCAGAAAGGCACUGUUAAAUUCUUAUUCCUCAACUAUGCAACUCAAAACUGGGGUCCUCAGCAGUGAGCGAGGGGUGAGAGAAGACACUGUAUAAACAUGGCACAUCCUCCUGGAAAGUCAACUUUACUCAAAGCUUUAGAAACCCAGCUCAAACUAGCUGAAGCAGAAAAGACAUUACUGCGCCUAUAAGUUGAAACUUUGGAGGGAUAAAUUUCAGAGGUGUGGCUAGAUCCAACGGCUCUCUGGAAAACUCUGUGAAAAAAAUGCUUCCUCAAGUCCAGAAACCAGAAGCUCAGGAAAUUGUUGCUUGGUUCCUCUUGUUAGAGGCAGAGAUUAUUCAACGACCUACAGGGUAGCGUUUGAACAUUGUUACCAGGAAUCUUUACUUUGCCAUCUUCCAAGUCUGUUCUCCUCAGUAUUGGUUUCAUUUACAAGCAGGCCAUCUCUGCCCUCAUGGCAAUGAUGGUCUUUACUCCAGGCUUAAGACCCUUACUAUCUACUAUUUCCAAAGCGGAGAGAGAACUUCCCACACCUAGUGACCUGUGACACAGGAUUUUAUCCUUCGUACAGAGGGAAUUCAGUUGGCUAACAUAAUCUGCCUUCCAAUGGAGUAAGAAUGUCUGGACUCUUUCCUUCACCUACCCCCAAGACAUGGAGGCGUCUAAAAGAUAAAUAAAACUUGGCAACUGACCGAAGGAGGAAGAGGGGAUUUCAGGCAAAAUCAACGCUGUUCACUACGAGGAGACUUCAGAAAGGUUGCCUGCUUCUGGGGAGCAUAGUCCCUGAUUCCUCAAGACAUACGUUUAUUCUUUUCUUCAAUGUCUUUGCCUGCAGUCAAAACAAAACCAUUACCUUUAGCCAAGUUCACACAUUUCAGCCAAAUCCAUAUGCAUCGGAUCAGUUCUGUAGGUUAUGGGUGAGCAUGAACAUAUAAAAGAGGCACCUGCCUGUGCCUAUCUACUCCAUGGAAUUUCAAAAGGGGCCACUUAUGGAGAAUGUCUUUAGGGACAGAACCAACCACCCUGUCUUUCCUCCAACUCUCAAAGUAACUUCUGGCUUUAAUCCUCAAGUGUCUAUGCUGGAGUUUAAGAAAAAUGUUUUUCAUAGAAUUCAUGUGUAUGAUAUU
Molecule: long non-coding RNA, 1443 nt
Filed under: Homo sapiens (human)
Lineage: Eukaryota; Metazoa; Chordata; Mammalia; Primates; Hominidae
Description: survival associated mitochondrial melanoma specific oncogenic non-coding RNA
Source: RNAcentral